RNAcentral lists this ribosomal RNA (231 nucleotides) under uncultured bacterium. RNAcentral describes it as "partial 16S ribosomal RNA". It matches the Rfam family "Bacterial small subunit ribosomal RNA", at positions 524 to 753 of the family's 1533-position model. The record is from RNAcentral.
UACGGGGGGGGGCAAGCGUUGUUCGGAAUUACUGGGCGUAAAGGGCUCGUAGGCGGCCAACUAAGUCAGACGUGAAAUCCCUCGGCUUAACCGGGGAACUGCGUCUGAUACUGGAUGGCUUGAGUGUAGGAGAGGGAUGCGGAAUUCCAGGUGUAGCGGUGAAAUGCGUAGAUAUCUGGAGGAACACCGGUGGCGAAGGCGGCAUCCUGGACUACUACUGACGCUGAGGUG